UACGUAGGGUGCGAGCGUUGUCCGGAUUUAUUGGGCGUAAAGAGCGUGUAGGCGGCCGUGUAGGUCUGACGUGAAAUCUGGAGGCUCAACCUCCAGCUGUCGUUGGAAACCGCUCGGCUAGAGUCCGGAAGAGGAGAGUGGAAUUCCUGGUGUAGCGGUGAAAUGCGCAGAUAUCAGGAAGAACACCUAUGGCGAAGGCAGCUCUCUGGGACGGUACUGACGCUGAGACGCGAAAGCGUGGGGAGCGAACAGG
RNAcentral lists this ribosomal RNA (253 nucleotides) under uncultured bacterium. Its description in RNAcentral is "partial 16S ribosomal RNA". It matches the Rfam family "Bacterial small subunit ribosomal RNA", at positions 524 to 776 of the family's 1533-position model. The record is from RNAcentral.